RNAcentral lists this transfer RNA (72 nucleotides) under Lichtheimia hongkongensis. RNAcentral's name for it is "tRNA-Phe". It matches the Rfam family "tRNA". From Rfam's summary of the family: Transfer RNA (tRNA) molecules are approximately 80 nucleotides in length. Their secondary structure includes four short double-helical elements and three loops (D, anti-codon, and T loops). The record is from RNAcentral. Lineage: Eukaryota; Fungi; Mucoromycota; Mucoromycetes; Mucorales; Lichtheimiaceae.
AGAAGUAUAGUUUAACUGGUAAAUAUAAGAAUUGCGUAUCUUAUGAUAAAAGUUCGAAUCUUUUUAUUCUUA